Long non-coding RNA from Psammomys obesus (fat sand rat), 1029 nucleotides. RefSeq lists it as uncharacterized. The transcript is spliced from 4 exons. NCBI's taxonomy places the organism in Eukaryota, Metazoa, Chordata, Mammalia, Rodentia, Muridae. The record is from RefSeq and is a predicted model, not a curated record.
GGACCGAGGCGGCGAGAUGUCUAAAAUAGGAAGACGCUGGGGACGGCUGGCCUGGCUGCCCGAGAUGCUGGCUGCGGGGAUCUGGUCCAGCUGUGCAGAUGGAAAAGCUAGGAGGAGCUCAGAUAGCAUCAGGCUGGUGACAACUUCACCAUGAACCCAAGGACAGCCUUGAAGUCCUCAUCCUCUGGACUCACAGGCACACGGCACAGUGUGGGUGCACUGAGCUACCUCCCCGGCACUGUAAUGAAGGUCUUGAGGUACCCCAUGCACAUCUGUCUAAUGACUUCUGUAGGGUAAAACUGUAAACACACAAUUGAUGGGGCAGAAAGACCUGCAAGCUCAACCAGCAGUCAACAAGUACUGGCCUUGGCCCAGCCCCGCUGUAAGGCCUGGUGCAGCCAGCGUCUCCACUCUUGCGGAUUUACAGUGCAGCUGAGGAGAAGCACACUAUUCCACCAGAGAUGGAUGCUAUUGAGAAAGCAAAUAGAAGCCCAGAGGAAUGCUUUUGAGCAGUCACAUGAUGGGACCCUGCUGUGCCAAGUCUGAGGGGCCAUCACCCGUGAGUGGGCAGAGACACUGCAAAGGAUGGUGGGUAGGAGGUUCAAAAUGAUGGCCAGGGUGCCCAGAGUGGGUGGACAAGUGAAAGAAUGGUUCAAGAGAAGACAGAAAGAUCAGCGGCAGCUUCGUGAAGAGCUGUAUGGGAUGGAGAGCAUGGAUCCAUGGCAACGGAGUGAGCCGAGGCUUCUUGGCUGCUGCAUGGAAAGCGGCCAGAGUGAACAGAGAGAGGCCAGGUCCAGCGGCUGGAAGCAGCCAGCAGCCUAACAGCGCCACCGUGUGGAAGACGUGGGCCAGCACAACAGGAUACGCCUGAAAAUCCCUAGACAGCUUCCCCAAAGAAGAGGAAGCCAGGUGGUGCACACCUAUAAUCCCAGCACUCACGGAGGCAGAGACAGGCUGAUCACUCUAAGUUUGAGGCCAGCCUGGUCUACAAAGUGAGUCCAGGACAACUGAGGCUACACAGAGAAACCC